Molecule: ribosomal RNA, 446 nt
Filed under: uncultured bacterium
Lineage: Bacteria
Description: partial 16S ribosomal RNA
Rfam family: Bacterial small subunit ribosomal RNA
Source: RNAcentral
CCUACGGGUGGCAGCAGUCGAGAAUCAUUCACAAUGGGGGAAACCCUGAUGGUGCGACGCCGCGUGGGGGAAUGAAGGUCUUCGGAUUGUAAACCCCUGUCAUGUGGGAGCAAAUUAAAAAGAUAGUACCACAAGAGGAAGAGACGGCUAACUCUGUGCCAGCAGCCGCGGUAAUACAGAGGUCUCAAGCGUUGUGCGGAAUCACUGGGCGUAAAGCGCUAGUAGGCGGUAUUUCAAGUCAAGGGUGAAAACCCCGCGCUCAACGUGGGAACUGCCUUGGAAACUGGCAAACUGGAGUGUGUGAGAGGAUAGGGUAAUGCCAGGUGUAGGAGUGAAAUCCGUAGAUAUCUGGAGGAACAUCAGUGGCGAAGGCGACUAUCUGGCACAUAACUGACGCUGAGGAGCGAAAGCGUGGGUAGCAAACAGGAUUAGAUACCCCGGUAGUC